GUGUCAGCAGCCGCGGUAAUACGUAGGGGGCAAGCGUUGUCCGGAAUCAUUGGGCGUAAAGAGCGUGUAGGUGGCUCGGUAAGUCCGCUGUGAAAGUCCAGGGCUCAACCCUGGAAAGCCGGUGGAAACUGUCGAGCUCGAGUCCGGAAGAGGCGAGUGGAAUUCCUGGUGUAGCGGUGAAAUGCGCAGAUAUCAGGAGGAACACCAAUGGCGAAGGCAGCUCGCUGGGACGGUACUGACACUGAGACGCGAAAGCGUGGGGAGCAAACAGGAUUAGAUACCCCUGUAGUCC
RNAcentral lists this ribosomal RNA (292 nucleotides) under uncultured bacterium. Its description in RNAcentral is "partial 16S ribosomal RNA". It matches the Rfam family "Bacterial small subunit ribosomal RNA", at positions 505 to 796 of the family's 1533-position model. The record is from RNAcentral.